Strigops habroptila (Kakapo) is the source of this 2783-nucleotide long non-coding RNA. Lineage: Eukaryota; Metazoa; Chordata; Aves; Psittaciformes; Psittacidae. The record is from Ensembl.
GCUCCCCGGCGGCAGAGCAAGGCAGCGGCACCUGCCUCUGCCUCCCCGGCUGCUCUCCCCCCUCUCCGCUCAGGGAGGGACAGCACCUCUCAGGCGCGGAGGGGGGGCCCGAGCAGCCCUUCACUGAACACCUCCCUCCCUCCCCCCUCCUCCUCCUCCUCCAAAAGGGAGAAAAAAAAAGGGGAAAAAAAAAGGAUGCUCCGGCACAGCAAACGCCAAAGAGGAAAAAGCACCCCCCCUCCCGAGCAGCGGAGAAGAGAGACGGGAGCGGUGCCGAGGAGCCGGGGCGCGGGUGCUAAUGCUGCAUUCCCGGGGAGCCGGGGCAGCGCAGCGGGCACCCCGCGAGUCGGGCAGCCCCCGCCGCGGGCGGGAGGUGCCGCCUGCGCCCGUCUUUCCUUUAGGUCGUGGUCGGGCAGAGCCGCCGGGCGGGAUGCGCGCAGCGAGGGGCUGAGAGCAGAGCAAAGUGUGCGGCGGCGGCAGAGAGAUUCCCUCCGGGCACUGGCGUUGCGCGCCCGCCGGCCGGGCACCGGCUCCAGGUGGGGCUCUCGGCGCGGGGGGGGGCGGCAGCUCCCUCCCUCCCUCCUUCCCUCCGCGCGCUCCCCGCGCGGAGGCUCGGCCGCCCCACGCGAGACCCGCCGCGCGCGCGCACCCCCGCGCGCACACCCGCACGCACCCACCGGCGGGCGCACGGGAGCGGCUCCCCCACCCCCCUUCCUUCCCCGCGCUGCCCGGUGCAGCCCCCCCGUUCACAGCCGCCACCCUCCCCCCCCCCUUCCCCGCGCACAUGCGGCACGCGAACACGCUCCCACGCGUGCCUUGGCACCUCCGCGAGGUCUCCGCGCACACACGCACACGCGAGGCGCGGAGGGGUGCAUGUGUGUGUGUGUGCGUUCUUCUGCCGUUAUCAUUUCCCCGCCGAGACCCGGCACCGUGAACGGAGGCCGCAGCAGGACCCCCGCGGGCUGCCCCCCUCCGCAGCGGGUUACUUGCGCGUCUCAGCGGACGCGGGUCGUGCCCCACACACUGCCCGAGGCUCUGUGCCCCGCUCCCGGCAUGGCCCCCCACCGCCCCACCCUGGAACACGUUCACUUUGCCCACCCUGCGCCGUGGUAUGCAAAGUCCCUGAGGAGCAGCGCGGUGUGCUCAUUUGUCCCGAGGCAGGAGGCAAACCGGGAAACUUUCCCUAACCCUGCCUUAGGCACUUCGUAUCUUAUACAUGUUCCUAAUUUUUCCUGAAGUCACUCGUGACAAACCUUUGAAGAUCUAGUAUCACAUAUGCAAUGGCAGCACCUGUGCAGUUAACUGGAAGGAAUAUGGCUUGAUUAAUUCUAAGAUCAUUGUGAUCUGACUUGAGAGUAAAAGGCCUCACCCAUAACCUUGUAGCACUCGCUGCUUUGCAGCCUUUCCCUCAGAACGACAUCCAACAGCGUCGACUUCAACGCAUCAGUGAUGAAGAGUCCACCACAUCUCUUGAUAAAUCCUUGCAGUUAUCCAUUUGCUAAGAGGUGCAUCUCCUAUUCAGUAACAAUUUGUCUUACUCCAGCCUCUAAUCACAGGUUCUCGUGAUGCCUUUAUCAGCUCAAGGCAACAGAGCAUCGGUGAUCCUCUCCCAUGCACGGGGGCUAAGAUUAAUCACAGCAUUUUGCUUCUGUGAAAUAAUGAGACCAACUUUCCACUUGCCUCAGGAGUCAUUCCUGGAGGCAUUUCCAAGGCACCUCUCCUUUUCCAGCUUUAUGUGUGAACUGGUCCGUAAGACACUGCAAAACCUGCCAGCGCUGGGCACUGGCAGCACCCGCAGCACCUCCCUCAGCACCAGCCGCCCCCGAGGUCCAGCAGGUCAGCAGAGUUAACUCUGCGGGCAAACCAGCCAGCCUGCAGGCCUUGUGUGGCUACCUCUUCAUGGAACACCUUUAGUACCUAAAGGGGGCUGACAGGAAAUCUGGAGAGGGACUUUUUACAAGGGCAGGUAGGGAUAAGACAAGGGGGAACGGCUUUAAACUGACAGAGAGUAGAUUUAGAUUAGAUACGAGGAAGAAGUUCUUCACUGUAAGUGGUGAGAUACUGGAACAGGUUGCCCAGAGAAGCUGUGGCUGCCCCAUCCCUGGCAGAGUUCAAGGCCAGGUUGGAUGCGGCUUUGAGCAACCUGGUCUAGUGGAAGGUGUCCCUGCCUAUGGCAGGGGGUUGGAACAAGAUGAUCUUUAAUGUUCCUUUUAACAAAAAACAUUAUAUAAUUCUAUAAAUAAUCUACACCAUGUUUUUAACCUGCACUGCCUAAAAGCAUGACCUACUUGUUCCCUUCUGUGCACCCAAUCUUGCAUUAGGAUAAAUCAAACUACAUGCUUUAUCUGUACAAGUGACCUGCCCUGUUUCUUCAUCACCUUCAAACUUAUCAGUAACUUACUUUCCUCCAGAAAAUUAUCAUGAAACCAAGAACAGAUCUUCCUAGGAUGCCAACAGGAAUAGGUGCCACACUGAAUCUGUAUAAUGUUAUUUUUAAUCAGAACUUCAUAUGCUAAAUGAUGUUUCACCAUUCUCAACUUGCUCUGGAAUAGAUACCAAGUUUAUUUGUCAAAAUCUGUUUCACAGAAAAUCGUUCUUCACUGCUUGUAUCCUGUACCAUUCUGUGAUCUUCUCCAGCACUUGGCUACCAGGACUACAGCUACUUGGAUCACUAUGGUUAUCAUUUUACAAUACUGGCAGCAUAUUAACACACAUACUCACACUGUGUCUGGAAUGUCAUCAGCUUCCAAAGCUUUUUUAAUUUUUUUAAAGCCAUUUCCCAG